Molecule: non-coding RNA, 1268 nt
Organism: Pelobates cultripes (western spadefoot toad)
Lineage: Eukaryota; Metazoa; Chordata; Amphibia; Anura; Pelobatidae
Source: the annotation of a GenBank genome assembly
UCCAAUUCCCCUUCCUGCUUUGCUUGCUUAACAAUAUUACAGAUACGUCUCAUGUCUCUGUGAGCAGUAGCUCCGGGAAGACACCUCACAAGACCACCAUUGUCCAUUUCCACACCUCUUAUGAUGGAAUCCCCCAACAACAACUGCUUUCUAUUAGGCCUCACCAUAGUCUCCAAGCCUGUCUCCACAACACCACAAGCCUCUCUCCACAACAUCAUUACACUCUGAAAGUGCAGAAAAUGAAUUAUAUAGAGCAACAGACUGUGCAAUAUGCCUUUUAUCCACAACUCUAAGCCUACCAGAUCCUACAGUAAUCCAUCUGCCAUUUCUAGUAUGUCUCUGCGGCAGUGGCUUUGCAGCAGUUCCAGUCUGAGUUUGUUUAUCAGAUAAUUUACAAAUCUCAGACUUCAAGAAUACAAUCUCCUGCAAGAUCAUCCCAAUGGCUAUUCACUGGCCUUACUCCUCCUCCUUUUCUGUGUUGAUUACUGAUACCACUUCUCACACCAAUGGCUAUUCACUGGCCUUACUCCCAAGGAUUUUAGGUUUCUACGAUUCUUCCCCUAUUAACAAUUACCCAAAUAACUGGAAACCUGGUGUACACACUCAGGCGCAAACCUUGCAGUUAUGUCUUAUCUACACAAUGCAGGUACAUUCAUGCAUGCAUAAGAAUUACCACAUGGUCCCUUACAUUAUUGUCUAUACUCUAUUUUAGGUCUUUAUUACAUAGAAACAUAGAAUGUGACAGCAGAUAAGAACCAUUUGGCCCAUCUAGUCUGCCCAAUUUUUUAAAUACUUUCAUUAGUCCUUGGCUUUAUCUUACAGUUAGGAUAGCCUUAUGCCUAUCCCACGCAUGCUUAAACUCCUUUACUUUGUUAACCUCUACCACUCCAGCUGGAAGGCUAUUCCAUGCAUCCACUACCCUAUCAGUAAAGUAAUACUUCCUGAUAUUAUUUUUAAACCUUUGUCCCUCUAAUUUAAGACUAUGUCCUCUUGUUGUGGUAGUUUUUCGUCUUUUAAAUAUAGUCUCCUCCUUUACUGUGUUGAUUCCCUUUAUGUAUUUAAAUGUUUCUAUCAUAUCCUCCCUGUCUCGUCUUUCCUCCAAGCUAUACAUAUUAAGAUCCUUUGACCUUUCCUGGAAAGUUUUAUCCUGCAAUUCAUGAGCCAGUUUAGUAGCCCUUCUCUGAACUCUCUCUAAGGUAUCAAUAUCCUUCCGAAGAUACGGUCUCUUCCCCAGUGGUGUAUCCUGGUUUUGUGCUGCCCUAGGCAAG